Molecule: long non-coding RNA, 2793 nt
Organism: Xenopus laevis (African clawed frog)
Lineage: Eukaryota; Metazoa; Chordata; Amphibia; Anura; Pipidae
Exons: 2
Source: RefSeq, a predicted model, not a curated record
GCUUGUGACCUUCCAUCCGAUCCGCUCUCCUGUCAGCAGGGGGCAGUGGCACAGACAUGCUAGGAGCUAAAGUUUCAUAGUGUCAGUGACAUCACUCCCAGCUCAGCUCUGAUUGGCUGAAAGCUGCAAGGAAGGUGAUCUAAUGGCUCAGGUACAGAUGACCGUUAUUUCAUUUCUGGAUUCAGAGGUAAGUGCAGCAGAUCCAUACACUGGGAACAGGGGGGCAUAUUUAGAUGAUACAAAGGGCAAUUUCGGGUAUUUUGGCACGCAUCAUUUAUAGUAGCUUGGGUAGUGGGACCAUCGCUCCCAAAAUUGCCCCAUUGCCUACCACUCUAAUUGCUUUGGGAGCUGCUUUCCAUGAAACUGUUCCAAAUUACAUCUGUGUGACAAGCAGGAAAGGUGGUGGUGGAGGGGGGGGGGUGGUGGAGUAAUUUAAUGCAAUUUGGCAUGACUUUCCUGCAAUAAAUACACUAUGAUGGUAUAAGAUACAUUGUGCUCUCUGGGUAUUACAUUCUACACAUUUGAAAUUUCUGCAAUUGUACAUGGGGACUGCAGCCUGUUAUGAGGCACUGAACAUAUAUUCAAAUAAAAACACAACUCAGUAUUAAUGGGAUACAGAUACCUAGAUAUUACACUUAUACAGGGUAUCACUUGAAAAUGGGUUUCUGAUAGCAGCCCUGCCCCCCCAAUCUACUAACACAUGUGGGUGUCAAAGUGCCUAAAAUCUCCCCAUAUGCCAUCUCUAAUGGGAGUGAGACCAUAACAACUUAUAGUUCUAAGGCAAUGUGUGCUUGGUGUUUGGUUUACUUGUUGUUGCAUUUGAACCAUUUGACAAUUUUCUCUGCCUCUGCUGUAAAUGCCAACGGUCAUUUGCCAACGGUCAUUUUCCAACGGUCGCUCUCAUCCUAGCAACAGUCAGUGGCCUCAGCACUAGAGUGGGUGACAGUUUAGAGAGGCUUAAGUAGAAAGACAAGUAGCACAAAUCAGAAGAAUAAAUGCCUGCCCUUAGGAUUCCUGGCAUUAUGGGUGCAGGGGCACUGAUCAGAGCAGAGCUGGUUAUGGGAAGCAGGCAUACUGGAUACAUGCAGGGGGAAAGGGAAACCAAUAGGAAUAUGGAAUAACAUAAUUUAAAAAGCCUUUAUUUGCACAUGGCUUCAGGAUCUACAACAGACAUGACGUUUCGGGCCCGAAACGUCAUGUCUGUUGUAGAUCCUGAAGCCAUGUGCAAAUAAAGGCUUUUUAAAUUAUUAUCUUGACUGGAGCUGUGUCAUAUAUUGGAACAUUUCAAGGAAUUAGGAUUGAUCAAAUGGCUUGAAAAUGCAGAGAAACCUGCGAUUUGCAACUUGUCCCAUAAUCACACAAAUUCGAGGGAAAUGGUACAACCACUUUUAGUAAUGUUAAUUUGCUUAACUGUCAAAUUCCUGAUUAAAAUGCCCCAAAAUGUUUUAGAAUUUCUACAGAGAUAUCGCUUGCUAAGGUAAAAACCGUUAGUUUAAUGUUAUUUUGUUUGGUUUUGCAGAGAGCCCACCGGCCACCAGCACCACCUGAGUGUACUCCUUACCAAGUACCGAUGCACCUCUGUGUAGGUGACAGUCAUGACACAGAGGUGAGUGAGCCAUUCACAAUUCCACCAACAGUGCCUCCACUCCAAUACACUACGAUUCCACCAGUGGUGCUCCCCCUUACACCUAAAAUAUGGUUCCAUAGACAGGAGCACCCUUAGGCCACUCGGUAAACCCUGUAUUCCUCUUCAAUCCAUCCCUCAGACUGCAGAAGCCGGGUCUGCAAGCUGCCUGGGUCCAAUGGAAUGGAGAGGAAUGCAGUGUUCACCUAGCAGCUUAAAGGUGCUCAUGUGUAUGUAGCCAUAUUCCCCUAUGUUUCAAUUCCCUCCACCAUAAUUCCACCAGUGGUGCCCCCCUUACACCUAAAAUAUGGUUCCAUAGACAGGAGUACCCUUAAGCCACUUGGUAGACCCUACAUUCCUUUUCACUCCAUCCCACAGACUGCAAAAGCCGGGCCUGUAGGAUGUCUUGGGUUCAAUAGAAUAAAAAGGAAUGCAGUGUACACCUUGUAGCUUGAAAUCGCUCAUGUGUAUGCUGCCAUAUUUCCCUCUGUUUUAAUACCCUCCACUGUAAUUCCACCAGUGGUGCUCCCCCUUGCAACUAAAAUAUGGUUCCAUAGACAGGAGCACCCUUAAGCUGCUUGUUAGACCCUGCAUUUCUUUUCACUCCAUCCCUCAAUACUGCUGAGGCCGGGUUCUGCAGGCUGCCUGGGGUCCAAUGGAAUGGAGAGGUAUGCAGUGUUUACCCUGUAGCUUAAAGGCGCUCGUGUGUAUGCUGCCAUAUUGCCUUCUAUUUUUAUUCCCUCCACCUCAAUUUCAACCAGUGUCCCUUCUUUCCCCCUAAAUAUGGUUCCAUAGACAGGACCACCUUUAAGCCACCCGGUAGACCCUGCAUUCCUUUCCACUCCAUCCCUCAAUCUGCAGUAGCGGGGUCUACAGGCUGCCUAGGGUCCAAUGGAAUGGAAUGUAGUGUUCACCUUGAGGCUUAAAGGCGCUCAUGUGUAUGCUGCCAUAUUCCCUUCUGCCUCCCUCACCCUGCUAACCUUGAUUUUAUUUGGCACAUUGAUCCUGGGAGCAAAUCUGAUUGCCGUUAAGGGGUCAGGAAGGAAUUUUUCCCUCUAGUAAGCAGAUUGGCCCAAGCUUGCCAGGGUUUUUGCCUUCCUCUGGAUCAAAUAGUGCAGUAUAUCUAAUUAUUAUCAAUAAAACUGUGACUUACACAGAUUUAACAUCAA